Molecule: ribosomal RNA, 468 nt
Filed under: uncultured bacterium
Lineage: Bacteria
Description: partial 16S ribosomal RNA
Rfam family: Bacterial small subunit ribosomal RNA
Source: RNAcentral
GACGAACGCUGGCGGCGUGCUUAACACAUGCAAGUCGAACGGAAAGGCCCUGCUUUUGUGGGGUGCUCGAGUGGCGAACGGGUGAGUAACACGUGAGUAACCUGCCCUUGACUUUGGGAUAACUUCAGGAAACUGGGGCUAAUACCGGAUAGGAGCUCCUGCUGCAUGGUGGGGGUUGGAAAGUUUCGGCGGUUGGGGAUGGACUCGCGGCUUAUCAGCUUGUUGGUGGGGUAGUGGCUUACCAAGGCUUUGACGGGUAGCCGGCCUGAGAGGGUGACCGGCCACAUUGGGACUGAGGUACGGCCCAGACUCCUACGGGAGGCAGCAGGGGGGAAUAUUGCACAAUGGGCGGAAGCCUGAUGCAGCAACGCCGCGUGCGGGAUGACGGCCUUCGGGUUGUAAACCGCUUUCGCCUGUGACGAAGCGUGAGUGACGGUAAUGGGUAAAGAAGCAACGGCUAACUACGUG